This 437-nucleotide ribosomal RNA is filed under the name uncultured bacterium. RNAcentral describes it as "bacterial SSU rRNA". It matches the Rfam family "Bacterial small subunit ribosomal RNA", at positions 29 to 459 of the family's 1533-position model. The record is from RNAcentral.
AUUGAACGCUGGCGGCAUGCCUAACACAUGCAAGUCGAACGGCAGCGCGGGGAGCUUGCUCCCUGGCGGCGAGUGGCGAACGGGUGAGUAACACGUAGGAAUCUGCCCAGUAGCGGGGGAUAGCCCGGGGAAACCCGGAUUAAUACCGCGUACGCCCUACGGGGGAAAGAGGGGGAUCUCUUCGGAGACCUCUCACUAUUGGAUGAGCCUACGUCUGAUUAGCUUGUUGGUGGGGUAAUAGCCUACCAAGGCGACGAUCAGUAGCUGGUCUGAGAGGACGAUCAGCCACACCGGAACUGAGACACGGUCCGGACUCCUACGGGAGGCAGCAGUGGGGAAUAUUGGACAAUGGGCGAAAGCCUGAUCCAGCAAUGCCGCGUGUGUGAAGAAGGCCUGCGGGUUGUAAAGCACUUUCAGUCGGGAAGAAAAGCAAGGGG